Molecule: long non-coding RNA, 1737 nt
Organism: Gasterosteus aculeatus aculeatus (three-spined stickleback)
Lineage: Eukaryota; Metazoa; Chordata; Actinopteri; Perciformes; Gasterosteidae
Source: Ensembl
UUUUUUUAAAGCACUUAAUUCAGAGGCUAUGUUCAAUAUGCAUUUAUAAAGAUAGAACUAUUAUUUAGCGUUGUAGCCUGCAAACCAAAAAACGGUUCUUGAAGCUGAGUAGAUGGGAAAUCAAAUGGGGGGUGGGGGGGGCUUGAGAACGUAAAGGCUGACCACAUGGAGCUCAUACCUCCACCCUCCAUCCUCAGGAUGUGCAAUCACCUCAAGGAUGCAGGCUUCCAAGUUGUGAGUGACGAGUUCGGCCUCGUUGUUUUGUGGCUGUGUGCGUAGAGUUCUUCCAAUUAUAUGCAAGUUCCUCGUAUAUUUCAAAACCCCCCCUUGUUUCAUGUACAGGUGCCUGUGUGAAAAAUAGAUAUUCUUUUACAGCAAAUUUGAUUGUUUGAAAUCUGCUUCCAUAUAUGUGCCAUUUUUUUUUUCUGGUUCUUUUUUUUUUGUAACAUUUGCAAUGGUGUGUUAAGUUUUCUUCCAUCUAAUCUGUUUCGUCUAUUAAGCAGCAUGGUUUCCGCGCAAGGCUAAUGUAGACACUAUUUCAAUUUAAUUAUUAUUUUUUUAACAAACUACUUAAACUAAUUUCUUCAAAUAGUUGCGAUGGAAGCAAAACUCAUCGAAACACACUGCAUCCAGGGGCCCCUACCAGGAUAUUUUUUUUGUAUUUGUAGUGAUGUUAAUCACGUUAUGUGGGGGACUGAGGUAUUAAUGUACGGUUCAACAACUCUGAAAUCUGCUAUCGCCAAAGGUACACUACUCAGAUAUUCAGCAGGUGAAUGGCGAGCGCACAGACAGUCACCGGGGACGUUGUUGAUGUCAUAACCAGCUACCUGACACCGUGCUGGGUUUUGAGGAGCAUUUAGUGAAGAAAAGGCACUGCUGUAGCAGCCGAGUCACUUUGAGCGUGUGGUCGUACGGUGCGAGAGAAGCAAUCUUCAAAAGAUGAAAAUAAAUGCUGAAAUCGAUGCUUUUUCAUCCUCCAAUCGUCUGGAAAUGCUGGACUUUGUUGUGUGUUUGUGCUCAACUUAACUGCAGCCUCCUUUUAAACGGUCUUUGCCUCUUGUUGAAAUGUUUUGAUUUAAGGGGCUUUUUUUGUUUAACUCGUUGACAGCUGAGAGGUACAGUGUUUGAUUCCACACAUGACAAAUAAAGUUUUUAAAAAAGGGGCGACGUGUGUCUUUAAAAUGUUCAAUUAUGAAAAGUGGCGCUGAGUUGUGCCAAGUCGUUUCUAGUUUUGUUUGUUUUCUUUUUUUAUUCUGCUCCUUUAUCACUUUCACAUCUCUUGCCUCCCUAAAAUAUGAGGAAACAACACUACUUAAAUGUCUUAAAAGGAGUGUCACAUGUUUUUUUUUUUUUUUUUUUUUUUUUUUUUAAAGCAUGAUAACCCCCAAAUUCCAAACAAUGUAAUAGUCAACAUAUAUCUAUAUAGAUAUAUAUAACUUCUAGUGUUCACAAUUAUAGUUUCUAUUAAAAUAUCAAAAACAGGAUUUCUGUGUUUUGUGUAGUCUGUUCUCUGAUAGCAAGUGGAGCAUGUCGGCUAGUCAUCACAUUACAUGAUCACACAAGUAAAAUCUACAGAACUAGGCCUGAAGAUCAGGUUAAUAGCAGGACCGACCUUUGCUGCUUGAACUAAUGCAUCGGACCACAGCUAAAGCAAAUGAACUAUAUACAAUUCAGUAGAAACACUGUCCUUUUGAGGUGCUUAUGGUUUACUUCCUUGUUUACAUUUUGACUUAACAC